AAGUCCUUACUUCUAGGAAUCAUUUCUAAUCAUUUGUAAUUAGAGUAAUGCUUUUGAAACGUUUGCAUUACUAACCAUGAGGAGUUGAAACUUUCUCUUCUGGGAAAGUGAGCAGAUGGU
This 120-nucleotide small nucleolar RNA is filed under the name Panthera leo (lion). RNAcentral's name for it is "Small nucleolar RNA U3 (ENSPLOG00000017146.1)". It matches the Rfam family "Small nucleolar RNA U3". Rfam says of the family: Small nucleolar RNAs (snoRNAs) are involved in the processing and modification of rRNA in the nucleolus. There are two main classes of snoRNAs: the box C/D class, and the box H/ACA class. The record is from Rfam by way of RNAcentral. Lineage: Eukaryota; Metazoa; Chordata; Mammalia; Carnivora; Felidae.